Molecule: ribosomal RNA, 253 nt
Filed under: uncultured bacterium
Lineage: Bacteria
Description: partial 16S ribosomal RNA
Rfam family: Bacterial small subunit ribosomal RNA
Source: RNAcentral
UACAGAGGUCUCAAGCGUUGUUCGGAUUCAUUGGGCGUAAAGGGUGUGUAGGUGGCGCCGUAAGUCGGGUGUGAAAUUUCGGAGCUUAACUCCGAAACUGCCCUUGAUACUGCCAGGCUUGAGUAUAGUUGAGGUAGGCGGAAUUGACAGUGUAGCGGUGAAAUGCAUAGAUAUUGUCAAGAACACCAAUUGCGAAGGCAGCUUACUAAAGUAUAACUGACGCUGAGGCACGAAAGUGCGGGGAUCAAACAGG